GAUGAAGAACGCAGCGAAAUGCGAUAAGUAAUGUGAAUUGCAGAAUUCAGUGAAUCAUCGAAUCUUUGAACGCACAUUGCGCCCCCUGGUAUUCCGGUGGGCAUGCCUGUUCGAGCGUCAUUUCACCACUCAAGCCUCGCUUGGUAUUGGGCAUCGCGGUCCGCCGCGUGCCUCAAAUCGACCGGCUGGGUCUUCUGUCCCCUAAGCGUUGUGGAAACUAUUCGCUAAAGGGUGUUCGGGAGGCUACGCCGUAAAACAACCCCAUUUCUAAGGUUGACCUCGGAUCAGGUAGGGAUACCCGCUGAACUUAAGCAUAUCAAUAAGCGGAGGA
Molecule: unclassified non-coding RNA, 331 nt
Filed under: soil metagenome
Description: partial contains 5.8S ribosomal RNA, internal transcribed spacer 2, and large subunit ribosomal RNA
Rfam family: 5.8S ribosomal RNA (bases 1-120)
Source: RNAcentral